CUAGAACACUCUGAUUCAGCAGGUGGAUGGUGGGCCUGAGCGUCUUAUUUUUAACAAACUCCCCAGGGGGUUCUCGUGCACAGCCAGGCUUGAGAAUCCCAUUGGUUUAGGUCAAGGCGGGGCAGAUAGAAUAGAUUAGAGGAGACUAGUUGGCGAAAAGCACAUCAGCUCCACCCAUGCUGCAGUGGGGUCAGCAGUAAGAGGCGUCCCAGCUCUUUCUAGCUGGCCCAUGAGUGAGUCCUAACAUUGCAAAGCCUCAGUUAUCUCAUCAUUAAAAUGGGAAUCACGGCAAUGGCCCCAGAGUAUAAAUGUGAGAGUUAAAUAGACGAUGCCCACAGGGCACUUGACAGAGGGCUUGGCACAGAAUGAGAAGUGAAUAAAUGUUAGUCGUUGUCAUUCUUAUUGUCAUUGUUGUUAGGACUUCUAAAGAAGCGUGGAGGCCCUUUGACUAGUGUGUCAGGAAGUAGCCCUGUUCCAAAAAGUCUUUCUGAGAGGAAGCCAGUAAAUCUUGCUCCGGCUAAAAAAAAAAAGAAACAUAAAUAAUAAUAAAAAAGAAAGAGUAUCUAGGUUUGGGGUGGGGCCUGGGGAUUCUGAAAAGGCGGAGGGAGGUGCAGGCAAAGAGCUGGAGAACUUGGGCGGCUGGUGGAGUGGAAGAGCCCUGAGCGGAAGCCCGGAGACCUGAGGCCGGGCUUGGCUCCGGGCGUGUGCCAGGCCUUCGGGGAUCUAGAACUCAGAUGGAGAAGAGAGGUGUUGUGUGUCCUUAUCACAUCUUCCCCCAGCAACUAUUGAGGAAAAUAAAUAAAGAAGUAUAGAUGAGUAAUAAGACAUCACAUCCACUAGAGACUCUUGAUCCGACAUCCGAUGAAUCCAUCCGCUUCCAAGGUGACUAGUUCAUCAGUUAAGGUCAAGAAGAGGAAUGCAGCAGCUCCUGGCAUCAAGGACAUCUCAGUCAAAACACUAGCUGAACAAAGCUAAAGGAACAGACUUCAGUGACCAUACACAACAAGGAAUACAGUCCCUACAAAAAAAGUUUAGAAGACUCACUAACAAAU
RNAcentral lists this long non-coding RNA (1052 nucleotides) under Equus caballus (horse). RNAcentral's name for it is "lncRNA (ENSECAG00000055393.1)". The record is from RNAcentral. Lineage: Eukaryota; Metazoa; Chordata; Mammalia; Perissodactyla; Equidae.